RNAcentral lists this ribosomal RNA (274 nucleotides) under uncultured Eubacteriales bacterium. RNAcentral describes it as "uncultured Clostridiales bacterium partial 16S ribosomal RNA". It matches the Rfam family "Bacterial small subunit ribosomal RNA", at positions 524 to 800 of the family's 1533-position model. Lineage: Bacteria; Bacillati; Bacillota; Clostridia; Eubacteriales. The record is from RNAcentral.
UACGUAGGGGGCUAGCGUUGUCCGGAAUCACUGGGCGUAAAGGGUUCGCAGGCGGAAAUGCAAGUCAGAUGUAAAAGGCAGUAGCUUAACUACUGUAAGCAUUUGAAACUGCAUAUCUUGAGAAGAGUAGAGGUAAGUGGAAUUUUUAGUGUAGCGGUGAAAUGCGUAGAUAUUAAAAAGAAUACCGGUGGCGAAGGCGACUUACUGGGCUCAUUCUGACGCUGAGGAACGAAAGCGUGGUAGCAAACAGGAUUAGAUACCUGGUAGUCAAGGC